AGCGAACGUUUGCGGCGGGCCUAACACAUGCAAGUCGAACGCACUAGCAAUAGUGAGUGGCGCACGGGUGCGUAACACGUGGGUAAUCAACCCUUCAGCUUGGGAUAACGACUUGAAAGGGUCGCUAAUACCGGAUACGGCGAGAGAGGCUUCGGCAUUUCUCGAGAAAGCCUCGCAAGGGGCACUGAAGGACGAGCCUGCGGCCCAUCAGCUAGUUGGUGAGGUAAGAGCUCACCAAGGCGAAGACGGGUAGCUGGUCUGAGAGGAUGAUCAGCCACACUGGAACUGAGACACGGUCCAGACUCCUACGGGAGGCAGCAGUGGGGAAUAUUGCGCAAUGGGCGAAAGCCUGACGCAGCCACGCCGCGUGAGCGAUGAAGGCCUCGGUCGUAAAGCUCUGUGGGGAGAGACGAAGAAAGACCCGUCGAGAGCGGGCCGUUGACGGUAGUCUCCUUAGCAAGCACCGGCUAACUCCGUGCCAGCAGCCGCGG
RNAcentral lists this ribosomal RNA (491 nucleotides) under uncultured bacterium. Its description in RNAcentral is "bacterial SSU rRNA". It matches the Rfam family "Bacterial small subunit ribosomal RNA", at positions 29 to 520 of the family's 1533-position model. The record is from RNAcentral.